UCCCCCAACAGCACCGAGUUUAUAUCCAGGCAGCUGCUGGCAGAGUUAUACAAUCUGCUGAGCGUCAGGAACACAAGCUGCUGAGCAUCGGGGAUACAAGUGGCUGAGCGUCAAGCACAGAAGCAGCAACUGAACAUCAGAGACUAAGGAUAGACAUGGCUAACUUCAGAUGGUGUGGCUUCAGGGAAACAUCACCUUCUUCCUGCACUACCUCCUUUCCAAUUCCCCAUCCCACUGAGAGCCACGCUUAUUGCCCAAUAAAAUCCUCCGUGUAUACUACCCUUCAAUCCGUU
Molecule: long non-coding RNA, 293 nt
Filed under: Homo sapiens (human)
Lineage: Eukaryota; Metazoa; Chordata; Mammalia; Primates; Hominidae
Description: HSALNT0296876
Source: RNAcentral